This 510-nucleotide ribosomal RNA is filed under the name uncultured bacterium. Its description in RNAcentral is "bacterial SSU rRNA". It matches the Rfam family "Bacterial small subunit ribosomal RNA", at positions 32 to 525 of the family's 1533-position model. The record is from RNAcentral.
GACGAAACGCUGGCGGCGUGCCUAACACAUGCAAGUCGAGCGAAGUGCUUUAAAGCGGAAUCUUCGGAGGAAGCUUAAAAGUAUCUUAGCGGCGGACGGGUGAGUAAUGCGUGAGGAACCUGCCUUUCACAAGGGGAUAGCCUCGGGAAACUGGGAUUAAUACCCUAUGACACCUAAGUAUCGCAUGAUACUUAGGUUAAAGCGCAAAGCGGUGGAAGAUGGCCUCACGUCCCAUUAGCUAGUUGGUGAGGUAAAGGGCUCACCAAGGCAACGAUGGGUAGCCGGCCUGAGAGGGUGACCGGCCACACUGGGACUGAGACACGGCCCAGACUCCUACGGGAGGCAGCAGUAGGGAAUAUUGCGCAAUGGACGGAAGUCUGACGCAGCGACGCCGCGUGAGUGAUGAAGGUCUUCGGAUCGUAAAGCUCUGUCCUUGGGGAAGAAGGCGAAAGCUUGACGGUACCCAAGAAGAAAGCCCCGGCUAACUACGUGCCAGCAGCCGCGGUAAUA